CUACGGGAGGCAGCAGUCGAGAAUCAUUCGCAAUGGGCGAAAGCCUGACGAUGCGACGCCGCGUGAACGAAGAAGGCCUUCGGGUUGUAAAGUUCUUUCGCUAGGGAACAAGGGAAGAUACCCAAUAAGUAUCUGACUUGAGCGUACCUGGUAAUGAAGCACCGGCUAACUCCGUGCCAGCAGCUGCGGUAAUACGGAGGGUGCAAGCGUUAAUCGGAGUUAUUGGGCGUAAAGGGCGCGUAGGCAGAAUCGUAAGUCAGAUGUGAAAUUUCAGGGCUCAACUCUGAAGCUGCAUUUGAAACUACGGUUCUUGAGGGUAGGCGGAGAAAUCGGAAUUCCACAAGUAGCGGUGAAAUGCGUAGAUAUGUGGAAGAACACCGGUGGCGCAGGCGGAUUUCUAGCUUAUUCCUGACGCUGAGGCGCGAAAGCGAGGGGAGCAAACAGGAUUAGAUACCCGAGUAGUCC
RNAcentral lists this ribosomal RNA (465 nucleotides) under uncultured bacterium. RNAcentral's name for it is "bacterial SSU rRNA". It matches the Rfam family "Bacterial small subunit ribosomal RNA", at positions 339 to 796 of the family's 1533-position model. The record is from RNAcentral.